Molecule: RNA transcript, 2765 nt
Organism: Chroicocephalus ridibundus (black-headed gull)
Lineage: Eukaryota; Metazoa; Chordata; Aves; Charadriiformes; Laridae
Gene name: guanylate-binding protein 1-like
Exons: 10
Source: RefSeq, a predicted model, not a curated record
ACAAAGGCGGGCAGGAGCCAGGCUGCAGCAAAGCUUUUGCAGCCCAGGGCAGGCGAUGAAGACGACGGAAUAGGAGGGGAGGUGCAGGCCCAGGGCACAGGACAAAGGCGGGCAGGAGCCAGGCUGCAGCAAAGCUCUUGCAGCCCAGGGCAGGUGACGAAGACGACGUCUCCUCUCCAGGCUGUGUUUGUCGUCAGCAAUGGCAUCUGAAAUCCACAUGCCGGAGCCCGUGUGCCUCAUUGAGAACACGCGGACGAAGGGGCUGGUGGUCCAGCAGGAGGCCCUGCAGGUGCUGUCAGGGAUCACCCAGCCCGUGGUGGUGGUGGCCAUCACAGGGCUGUACCGCACUGGCAAGUCCUACCUCAUGAACAGGCUGGCUUGUCAGAGGAAAGGUUUCUCCUUGGGCAGUGGUGUGCAGUCCCACACCAGGGGUAUCUGGAUGUGGUGUGUACCUCACCCGUGCAAGCCUGGACACACUCUGGUGCUGCUGGACACGGAAGGGCUGGGUGAUGUGGAGAAGGGUGACAUGAAGAACGACAUGUGGAUCUUUGUGCUAACGGUGCUGCUCUCCAGCACCCUGAUCUACAACAGCAAAGGCACCAUUGACCAGCAAGCUGUGGACCAGCUGCACUAUGUGAUGAAGCUGACUGAGCAGGUCAAGUUGAAAGCAGCACCCGAGCAGAGCGAAGAUGAACUGGAGGAUUCAGAAAACGUUGCCCCCAUCUUCCCGACUUUUGUGUGGACGGUCCGGGACUUCACACUGCAGCUGGAGGUGGAUGGGAAGGAAAUCUCUGAGGACGAAUACUUGGAGAAUGCACUCAAGUUAAAGGCUGGGAGCAGCCCAGAGACCCAACGCUACAACCAGCCCCGGGAAUGCAUCUGCCAGUUCUUUCGGGAUCGCAAGUGCUUUGUUUUUUACCAGCCGGCCCACAGGAGGGACCUGGUUCGCUUGGAGGAGCUUCCGGACGAUGAGAUCGAUUGUGAAUUCCAGCAGCAGGUGGAGAAAUUCUGCAGCCACAUCUGGGAAAAGUCUCCGCCUAAGACCAUCCCUUGCGGCCGCACCAUAACAGGGACCCUGCUGGGGAAACUGGCAGAGAGCUACGUGGAGACCAUCCGGAGCGGGGCAGUGCCAUGCCUGGAGACCGCAGUGCUCGCCCUGGCAAAGACUGUAAAUGCAGCGGCAGUGAAAGAGGCUGUGACGUUGUACCAGGACCUGAUGGAGCGGCGGGUGAAGCUGCCGACGGAGACGGUUCAGGAGCUACUGGAUCUGCACACCCAGUGCGAGCGGGAGACGCUGGAGCUGUUCCAGAAACAGGCGUUCGAGGAGGAGAUCUGCUCUUUCCUGGCAGAUCUUACAAUGUGCAACAGCAGUAUGAGAGAGCUCAGCAGGAGUGGGAUGCCCGGUGGAAGCAGGAGGCUGAAGACAAGCAGAAGCUGCAGGACAAGUUGCACAGCACCGAAGAAGAGGUGGCUCGUCUGAGAAAGAAGCUGGAGGAUCAGCCUAAGAAGCCUAAGAAGCGGCGUGAGGAGCACCCAAAGACCAGCAAACGUAAAUCGAAGAGCACCUGGUCUCUCACUCCAUCUGAAGGCACGGGGAACAUGUAAAGCCGGGGUGGCCUGGGGCACAGAAAGGCCAACAGGCAGGUCUGGGAGCAUAUUUCCAGGCUCAGAACACGUCACGGAGGAACGUAGCACACCUCGUGUAGAGACCUCCUCACCAGGGCUAUGGGAAACAUGACCAGCGAGGUUUAUGCCUGCUGGCUGAUAUCCUAGGGUCGCACUUUCUGCAGCUGCGGGAAGUAGCACGGAGGUUGUGAGUAAACCAGGAAUCCACGUGGUGAGCGCGACCUGGUUUGCUUGGCGUCAGUCCCAGGCAGAGUGACCCAGAAGCAGUGAGCCCGCGACCCAGGGAGCAGUGGGUGAAAGGCAUCCUCUGCAAUGGAGCUUUUCCCACCCAAGGCUCUUCUCACUUUGAGCACUGACCCUGCUCGGCGAGCAAGGUCCUGGGGAACCUCCCGGGGACAAAGCCCGGGCUCUGCUCCUCCACCUGCUGUUGUGCUGGGGCUGUUUUCCCUGCCGAGCCCUCACACCGUGAGACUGUCUCCCUCCACUGCCACAUUCUAGUCAAAUUAUUGACAUGAUCUGUUUCAUCUUUCGCCAAACUUUAAUAUAUGAAAUGGCUACAAGCAAUAAGCACAAUAAAGUUAAAUCUAAGAAAACUACUCCUGAAUGUAACAUUGAAUUCAAAGCUCCGGUUGCUGUUGGUGACCAUCCCAGGAGAGUUUGCCAUCAGGGAUGUUCUUCCUCUUUCUCAGACAGUUUGUACACAUUCCAUUGGAGGUGUGUGUGUGUGGUAGGCGAUUAGUCUUGAUAUAAUGCGUAGUUAAAAGGCAGCAAUUGGUAGGUUGGGACGGGAGCCUGUGGUGGUUCAGCCUCAGACGGCAACAAGGAACCACGCGGCUGCUCUCUCAAACCCCUACAGCCGUGGGGGAGAAUUGGAAGAAGAAGCAAAACUCGUGGGUUGAGACAAAGGCGGUUUAACGGGACAGCAAAGGGAACAGGAAAACAACAACAACAACACGGACAGUGGAACGUGCCCCUGCUGAUUGACAGAUGACGGCACCACCGCUCACCCACUGGACCGGGGACAGCCCAGCCCUCUCCCAACUGGUGACUUCCCAACCCCUCCUCUGGCAGCCCCUGGCUACUGACUGGGCACGGCUGCCACCGGAUGGAAUACCCGUGCCCCUGCCGGAGCCUGGGGA